Molecule: unclassified non-coding RNA, 237 nt
Filed under: plant metagenome
Description: partial contains small subunit ribosomal RNA, internal transcribed spacer 1, and 5.8S ribosomal RNA
Source: RNAcentral
UUUCCGUAGGUGAACCUGCGGAAGGAUCAUUAUCGAGUUAGGGUCUUCUAGGCCCGAUCUCCAACCCUUUGUAUAACUACCAUGUUGCUUUGGCGAGCCCGUCUUUAACCGGACCGCCGGAGGUGUUAUAGCCUCUGGCCCGAGCUCGUCAGUAGCCCACAUAAAUUCUUUUAACCAUGUUAAAUCUGAAACUAGUUAAAUAAACUAAAACUUUCAACAACGGAUCUCUUGGUUCUG